RNAcentral lists this ribosomal RNA (263 nucleotides) under uncultured bacterium. RNAcentral's name for it is "partial 16S ribosomal RNA". It matches the Rfam family "Bacterial small subunit ribosomal RNA", at positions 524 to 786 of the family's 1533-position model. The record is from RNAcentral.
UACGUAGGGGGCGAGCGUUGUCCGGAUUUACUGGGCGUAAAGAGUGCGUAGGUGGUUUUACAAGUCAGAUGUGAAAUGCCGCAGCUUAACUGCGGAGCUGCAUCUGAAACUGUAGGACUAGAGUACAGGAGGGGAAAGCGGAAUUCCUAGUGGAGCGGUGAAAUGCGUAGAGAUUAGGAGGAACACCGGUGGCGAAGGCGGCUUUCUGGACUGCAACUGACACUGAUGCACGAAAGCGUGGGUAGCAAACAGGAUUAGAUACC